RNAcentral lists this long non-coding RNA (2243 nucleotides) under Homo sapiens (human). The record is from RNAcentral. Lineage: Eukaryota; Metazoa; Chordata; Mammalia; Primates; Hominidae.
AAAAGCUGUUUGACUCCAAACUCCGUGAAACAUGGAGCCCAGGCAGCACACUGAUUGGGGAAUUCUCUGGCCAACUGUGACGAAGUAAGAUGUUGAGCAGAGGCAUUCUUCCAGAGUUUCCCGCAGAACCCACAUGGCUUUGGCCCUUGGAGAGCUCCAGGCCAUCAGAGAUGGUGCAGGAAUGGGGUAGGAGACAGAGGAAGCCCUGCAGGAAGCCAGCAAAAACCUCACCUACCUUGAGAACUCAGCAAUGCCGGAAGAGAUUGAGAUUCCUAGAGAAUGGAGGAGCCGGGAACAAAGGAGAAGGAUGGGAUCCAGGAACAGGCCAAGAGAACCAGCUCGAUGCUUCUUCCUCUCCCUUCUAGAAAAUUCUGUUCAGAAGCCAUUAGGUAAGGUAGAGCAAGGCAGGCCUCUGUAGCUGAGUGGGGAGGAAGUAGCGUGCCCAGAGCAGGAGGGUGGAGUCCACCGGGGUGAGAUAGAGGCUCACACAAGGGCGGUGGUCCAGUGUGAGGUUGCCCAUGUGGAGCGAGGAGGGUGCCAACAUAGGAGGGGGCAGCCCAGCAUGUGUCGGAGACCAAAGCAGGGUCCGAAGGGGGUCCUGUCCAGGGAGGAUGUCCUGGCACGGAGACUCAGACCCUCAGUGGGGUGAGGAGGGGUCUACACAGAAGGUGGCCCAGGGCAGGAUGGCAGAACUAGAGGGGUGAGGAGAGUGUCUAUUGCAAGGGCACCUUGCGCUUGGAGUCAGUGCCCUGGGGAAGUGGGAAGGGCAUCCACAUGGAGGGUGGCCCAGGGCAGGAUGCUGCUGUCCAGGCAAUGGAAGGAAGGUGUCCUCAGGAAGGGUGGUACCGCAUGAGUGUCCUACCUGAGCAGAGAGAGGAAGGUGUUUCAGUGACCGGCAGGGUGGCUGAGAAUCCCACUCUGCUUUGUGUCCUGAGCCUCACAGAGCACAAGGCAUUUAGUAGCUGCCCAGGUAAUGGUAAUUGUUAAAUGGAUGAUGAAAUAAAUGAGAAAAAUCUGGAUUCAACUCUCAUCUUGACCAUAUAUUAGCUAUGGAACUUUGGAUAUGAUCUUCAUCUCCAUCAGUGGGAUACUGUGUAUGAAACUACUCAGAAAAGCUAAAGGAGCUGAUUUUACUCCACCUAACAGGAAAGAAGGCUCUGCCAUUCUUUGCUGUGCAAGCGUUCCUCAUAUCAAAGAAUGGCAGAGCCCUCUUUCCCUUUGGGUGGAGUAAAAUCAGCCUAGCCUUCCCUUAGCGGGUACCAUGCUGCCCAGCCUCAGGUGCGUCCUUUGUGAGAUCCAGAUAUCAAACGGCCUCUUGCACAUAAUGACUUGGCUAUCUCUCAGGUCCUCCCUGUCCACAGGGUGGGUUCUCAACUUAUCAACUCCCUCCUCUGACACCACUCCUCCCCUGAAAGGGUCCUCCCACUCCCCUCAGAGAACAGCAGCACUCACAGCAGUCAGCCCCUAAAUCCAGCUGAUCUUUGUCUCCAUUGCCAAUAUCACUGUUCCAGGCACCAUCCUCUCUCGCUGGUAUUACUGCAAACUGCCACCCAGCUGGUCUCUCCACCUCCAGCCUUGCCACGCUGCCCCCUUGCCCCGUCCAUGUCAGACUCUACCACGCUGACCUUUGGAAAAUGUAACUCUGUAUGCAUCACUUCCCUACUGAAAACUCUGAUAGGUCACUAUGCCCUUUAAGAUAAAGUCUGAAAUCCUCAGCAGGGUUGAUAAGCAGCUCUAUGUGGGACUCGCUUUUCCAGGUUAGCAAGGGACUUCCCUGAUUUUAGCACUGAAGUCCUGAAUUCUCCUUAGUCCUUGGCAAACUGGAUGGCUCACCACUCCCCUCUUCUCCUCAUUCCUCUGCCUCACCCCUACCCCACACUCACCCUCUGUCUGUCCCCUCAGCAGUCUUCCUCCUGCUACUGUGAAUGGUCUCUGCCCCAGCCCCUUUGCUUUGUAACUUUGAGAUCCCCCUCCUAGUCUCAGUGGGCAGAUGGCUUCCUCCAUGCUGUCUCCUGGACACCCCGGGUCAGGUGACUCGCCCCUGCUGGGUGGCACUCUUAGUUCCCCUUGUGGCACUUAAAUGCGUUAUUUCAAUCACUGGGUUACCGGAGGUCUCCUUCCAUGACUGUAGAUGCUGCAGGCAGAAGCUGAGUCGUGUUUGCCCCCGUCAUCACCUGUUGUCUGGCACAAUUGCCUGCUGCGGAUUUCAGUGGUGAUUUUUAGGUGAAUCGUGAUGCACCCAG